RNAcentral lists this unclassified non-coding RNA (395 nucleotides) under soil metagenome. RNAcentral describes it as "partial contains 5.8S ribosomal RNA, internal transcribed spacer 2, and large subunit ribosomal RNA". The stretch from base 1 to 120 matches the Rfam family "5.8S ribosomal RNA", at positions 35 to 154 of the family's 154-position model. The record is from RNAcentral.
GAUGAAGAACGUAGCGAAAUGCGAUAAGUAAUGUGAAUUGCAGAAUUCAGUGAAUCAUCGAAUCUUUGAACGCACCUUGCGCCUUUUGGUAUUCCGAAAGGCACACCUGUUUGAGCGUCAUGAAUACCUCAAUCUCCAUCUUUUCUUCGGAUCGAUGGGUGACUUGGAUGUUGAGCCCUGCUGGUAUGCUAUAUCAGCUGGCUUUAAACUUAUUAGCCGGCUCUGUACUGGAUCGGUUUGACUCGACGUGAUAAUAUUAUCGUUGAGGAUGCAUGUCUCAUGCAGCCGGAAAGUAUCAAAGCAGCUUCUAGCUUGCCUUUAGUGCACUUUUACAUUUUAGACCUCAGAUCAGGUGGGACUACCCGCUGAACUUAAGCAUAUCAAUAAGCGGAGGA